CGUUAGCGGCGGACGGGUGAGUAACACGUGGAUAACCUACCUAUAAGACCGGGAUAACUUCGGGAAACCGGAGCUAAUACCGGAUAAUAUAUUGAACCGCAUGGUUCAAUAGUGAAAGACGGUUUUGCUGUCACUUAUAGAUGGAUCCGCGCCGCAUUAGCUAGUUGGUAAGGUAACGGCUUACCAAGGCAACGAUGCGUAGCCGACCUGAGAGGGUGAUCGGCCACACUGGAACUGAGACACGGUCCAG
Molecule: ribosomal RNA, 250 nt
Filed under: uncultured Staphylococcus sp.
Lineage: Bacteria; Bacillati; Bacillota; Bacilli; Caryophanales; Staphylococcaceae
Description: partial 16S ribosomal RNA
Rfam family: Bacterial small subunit ribosomal RNA
Source: RNAcentral